Leptopilina boulardi is the source of this 287-nucleotide long non-coding RNA. RefSeq lists it as uncharacterized. The transcript has 5 exons. The record is from RefSeq and is a predicted model, not a curated record. Lineage: Eukaryota; Metazoa; Arthropoda; Insecta; Hymenoptera; Figitidae.
UAGAGUUAGUAUUGUCUUGAUUGAUGACGAAGUCUUAAGAAAAGAAAAUGUCUCAAGAAAAAAAGAACGUAAAAUAGAUUUCAAUUUACCUAUUGUUGAUAUCGAUAGAUAUGAAACAUCGGAUAGUGAAAAUGAAUCUGAAACUGUAUUGGAGGAAUCCGAUUCCAACAGUGAGGAUAUUUCUUCUAAUGAAUCAGAAGAUGAUGAUGUUGUCGAAAAACCAAGUACAUCAGAACAUUCUACACAAGUGAAAAGUCAUGUUCAAAAACCAGUGGAGUCAAAACACA